UUAUGGGAAAUUGUGUUUCAAUGGGGAGUGUCCACUUUCAGUUUUUAGCUCAUUUCAAGUUACUUCCACGACGUUACAUAUAGAAGCUGAUAUCCGUUUUGUCAUUGAAGUUUGUUUUGAUGAUUGUUAUUACUGGUGGUGGCUUUUGCAUCUGUGCACAAAACAUUAUGUUCUUGUAUACAGAAAGAGGCUUAUAGCUUCAGACAACUCCUUCGGUCUCCUGACACAGUGGAGGAGCUGCAUCACAUUCUGGAACCAGAGCAUCUAAAGGCUCCAAGCAGCUCAGCUGGGAUGCAGUCCUCAGGCAGGAGAGACACUUGCCGGUGGUGGAGCACUUGGUCUGCUGCCAUGAACUGCCGUAUGAGGGUGUGUCGGCUGGGUGAGGAGCUCCUGCCCUCUGUGCUCUAUGUAUGGAGACAGAUGAGGCCCAGCAGCACUCUCAAAGAGGAGAUAGUAGAGUUAUUCAACCUGCAGCUCUGUGUACAUCAUCUCAAGGGUCAAAUACACAAGACACAGGAGCCUAUGCUGAGGACUGGGCCAAAUGGCAGAGUCUACUCUAUAACCUCUAUGAUGCCCUGGUGACUGAGAUCAGCCAGAUUGGGAGCUGGGAGAAAAAAUGCCACAGGGUUGCGCCACAUUGCUGUGAAGGAGAACCUUAUUGAGCUAACUGGAGACAUCAGAUGAUAAGAUCCUUAAUUUUCACAUCUUGACUUCAUUUACCAUUUCCAGGCUAAAACCUGAGCUGUGCUGACAUAGUUCACCUGUCUUUAAGAUGGUUUUGGUAUUGUUGGUCUCAUCUUCAUGUUUUGGGUGUUUGACUGUUUCUUAGCUCUAUAGCGAAGAUUGUAACCUUCAGAUUCUGGAUGUGACUCAGGCCCACCUCAGAGCCACCCAGAGAGGAAGUCUCCAGGGCACGCCCAGCAAGUGCAGACACAUCGAGCUGGGCUGGGCUGGGAGGUUCUCCGAGACCACCUGCAGCCACACCAUCAUACCAUGGGCCGUGGAGGGGGUCGGGCCCCCCAGCAUCAAGGAGAACAUCAUGAGCUGGCUGCUGAUGAACGAACAGAGUGAAGAGGCAGAGGAGAGAUCAAGAUCACACCCCAUCAUCUGCAGGAUUUUCCUCACAACCUAAUCCGCAGAAUCCUUGUGCCUUUGACCCUCAAAGACACCCGAGCUGGCAUUAUGUUUCUCCUCGGAGCAAAGGAACUUGAGAGGCUGUUCUUGGAGAUGACACCGGACAGCUUGGAGAAGAGAAAGAUGCUUCCUCUGAAAUGCCAGCAGACAGCCUUUGAGAACAUCUACCUGAAAGCCUAAGAAGGGAUGAGGCUCCAGAAGAGCAGCUCUCCUGAAUACCUGAAUGACGAGACAUUUAACAGCAAGGCCACGCUGCUGAAGAAUGUGUCGGUGGUGCUGUGCUGCAGCCCCGUCUGUGAGAAACAGUCCCUCUUCGCCCUCUUCCAGUCCAACAAGGAGACCAACAUAGAGGAGCCGCUCAUCAAAGAGCUAAGGGCAAAUCAUUUGGCUACACGUAUUUACAGUCUCAUAAAUUAUGUAUUGUAUUAAUGUUUCUUAAACUGAAAGCACUUUAUAGUGUAGGUGGAUAACUCAGCCUUUCCACCGUCACUACAUACAGUAUCGCUGUCUGACUACUAUCAGUAUGCUAUGAUAUUGACAGACUGAAUGUUAACCUGGUUUGUCCCUCACCCCAUGUAGAUCCUGGGCAGUGAGUCCAGAGUUCUGGGCUACAGAAGUGUGGAGGGGUUUGUUAGCUCUCACCUGGAUUACCUGGUGGCAGAGGGUCUGGGCUAGCCUGGCUAUACCCUGGAGUCCUUCCCCUACACUCUGCUCAAUCACCCCACUCUCUUCUACAGCAAAUCUACUGCCUGAUUCACAGUAACCUGGCGGACAUUGUGGUGGAGCUGUUGAUGACCCUGUAUGAUGGGGCUGCUACCGAGGAGGGCAGAGGGGACCUGAGGAGGGAACUGGACCCAGCCCCAAUCCCACCCUCUUUCAGCUCCAAUGUUAUCAAAGCCACACUGGACUACCUCAGCAAAUGUCACAGUGCCAGUCACCAGUCGUCCCUGGUGGCCAUUUUAUCCAGGACACUGAUCUCCAUCCAGAGGAUCCUGCUGGCGGUGUGUCAGAAGGCAGCUGAGACGAUCAAUGCCUACGAGAGGAUCCCAGGGCAGUGAUUGGGGACAUUAGCCUGUGUAGUGUGCUGGUUUUCCUGACUCUCUGUGGUCACUAAAAGAUCCCAUGGAAUGUAAGAGUAGGGGUGUUAACCCUGGUGUCCUGGCUAAAUUCCCAAUCUGGUUCUCAUACCCUCAUGGCCACCUAAUCAUCCCCUGCU
This is a long non-coding RNA of Oncorhynchus tshawytscha (Chinook salmon), 2350 nucleotides long. RefSeq lists it as uncharacterized. The record is from RefSeq and is a predicted model, not a curated record. The transcript is spliced from 10 exons. NCBI's taxonomy places the organism in Eukaryota, Metazoa, Chordata, Actinopteri, Salmoniformes, Salmonidae.